GCUUAACACAUGCAAGUCGAAUGCUGUCACCCCAUUAUGCUGGGUGGAUCAGUGGCGAACGGGUGAGUAACACGUGAGCAACCUGCCCCUGACUCUGGGAUAAGCGCUGGAAACGGCGUCUAAUACUGGAUAUGUGACGUGACCGCAUGGUCUGCGUUUGGAAAGAUUUUUCGGUUGGGGAUGGGCUCGCGGCCUAUCAGCUUGUUGGUGAGGUAAUGGCUCACCAAGGCGUCGACGGGUAGCCGGCCUGAGAGGGUGACCGGCCACACUGGGACUGAGACACGGCCCAGACUCCUACGGGAGGCAGCAGUGGGGAAUAUUGCACAAUGGGCGCAAGCCUGAUGCAGCAACGCCGCGUGAGGGAUGACGGCCUUCGGGUUGUAAACCUCUUUUAGCAGGGAAGAAGCGAAAGUGACGGUACCUGCAGAAAAAGCGCCGGCUAACUACGUGCCAGCAGCCGCGGUAAUACGUAGGGCGCAAGCGUUAUCCGGAAUUAUUGGGCGUAAAGAGCUCGUAGGCGGUUUGUCGCGUCUGCUGUGAAAUCCCGAGGCUCAACCUCGGGCCUGCAGUGGGUACGGGCAGACUAGAGUGCGGUAGGGGAGAUUGGAAUUCCUGGUGUAGCGGUGGAAUGCGCAGAUAUCAGGAGGAACACCGAUGGCGAAGGCAGAUCUCUGGGCCGUAACUGACGCUGAGGAGCGAAAGGGUGGGGAGCAAACAGGCUUAGAUACCCUGGUAGUCCACCCCGUAAACGUUGGGAACUAGUUGUGGGGUCCAUUCCACGGAUUCCGUGACGCAGCUAACGCAUUAAGUUCCCCGCCUGGGGAGUACGGCCGCAAGGCUAAAACUCAAAGGAAUUGACGGGGACCCGCACAAGCGGCGGAGCAUGCGGAUUAAUUCGAUGCAACGCGAAGAACCUUACCAAGGCUUGACAUAUACGAGAACGGGCCAGAAAUGGUCAACUCUUUGGACACUCGUAAACAGGUGGUGCAUGGUUGUCGUCAGCUCGUGUCGUGAGAUGUUGGGUUAAGUCCCGCAACGAGCGCAACCCUCGUUCUAUGUUGCCAGCACGUAAUGGUGGGAACUCAUGGGAUACUGCCGGGGUCAACUCGGAGGAAGGUGGGGAUGACGUCAAAUCAUCAUGCCCCUUAUGUCUUGGGCUUCACGCAUGCUACAAUGGCCGGUACAAAGGGCUGCAAUACCGUGAGGUGGAGCGAAUCCCAAAAAGCCGGUCCCAGUUCGGAUUGAGGUCUGCAACUCGACCUCAUGAAGUCGGAGUCGCUAGUAAUCGCAGAUCAGCAACGCUGCGGUGAAUACGUUCCCGGGUCUUGUACACACCGCCCGUCAAGUCAUGAAAGUCGGUAACACCUGAAGCCGGUGGCCUAACCUUUUUGGAGGGAGCCGUC
Molecule: ribosomal RNA, 1403 nt
Filed under: Microbacterium oxydans
Lineage: Bacteria; Bacillati; Actinomycetota; Actinomycetes; Micrococcales; Microbacteriaceae
Description: bacterial SSU rRNA
Rfam family: Bacterial small subunit ribosomal RNA
Source: RNAcentral